UACGGGGGGAGCAAGCGUUGUUCGGAUUUACUGGGCGUAAAGGGCGCGUAGGCGGCCAGCACAAUUCAGUUGUGAAAUCUCCGAGCUUAACUCGGAAAGGUCAACUGAUACUGUGCGGCUAGAGUGCAGAAGGGGCAACUGGAAUUCUUGGUGUAGCGGUGAAAUGCGUAGAUAUCAAGAGGAACACCUGCGGCGAAGGCGGGUUGCUGGGCUGACACUGACGCUGAGGCGCGAAAGCUAGGGGAGCGAACGGG
Molecule: ribosomal RNA, 254 nt
Filed under: uncultured bacterium
Lineage: Bacteria
Description: partial 16S ribosomal RNA
Rfam family: Bacterial small subunit ribosomal RNA
Source: RNAcentral